GGACUACACGGGUAUCUAAUCCUGUUCGCUCCCCACGCUUUCGCGCCUCAGUGUCAGUUUUCGGCCAGGUAGCUGCCUUCGCCAUUGACGUUCCUUCCGAUAUCUACGCAUUUCACCGCUACACCGGAAAUUCCGCUACCCUCUCCUCAACUCCAGUCAUAUCGUUUGCGAUGCGCUUCCUAGGUUAAGCCCAGGGCUUUCACAUCACACUCAUAUAACCACCUACGCGCCCUUUACGCCCAGUAACUCCGAUUAACGCUUGCACCCUCUGUAUUACCGCGGCUGCUGGCAC
RNAcentral lists this ribosomal RNA (292 nucleotides) under uncultured bacterium. Its description in RNAcentral is "partial 16S ribosomal RNA". The record is from RNAcentral. RNAcentral also lists the same sequence under 1 other name.